RNAcentral lists this long non-coding RNA (3195 nucleotides) under Pelobates cultripes (western spadefoot toad). The record is from RNAcentral. Lineage: Eukaryota; Metazoa; Chordata; Amphibia; Anura; Pelobatidae.
GGCCCAAAGCAGGUGCAGAAGCAAUGGCUCUUUUCAGAGUAUGGAAACAGUUAAUAGUUUCUUCAGUGGGAUGAAAGGGCUCACUCCUGAGGGCAUCAUAGAGUGGCUGCAUGAGUUUGGAUGCUUCAGGUAUCCAGGACCUGCAGUAUGUGAUGAGUCCCAAGAAAGCAUGAAGAGAGUGAUGAGUUGCAGGUAAUGGGAGUUGCAGGAUAGCUUGCACCCGUUGUGAGGUUAGAUGUUUGGUGCCAUGGGAAAGGCAAUGUCCCAAGAAGACCACAGAGGGCCGGCACCAUUGUAGCUUUGAUUUUGAGGCCUUGCACCCUGCAGCAGCGAGGAAACAUAGGAGAUCUUCUGAGUCACGCUCUGCAAUAAGCAAAUUAGGAGCACAGAGAAGGAGGUCAUCAACAUAUUGAAGUAGAAUAACAUCCAGAUGAGAUUUCUGCCAGGGAUCCAAAACUAGAGACAUGGCAUGAGCAAACUGUGUGGGAGAGUUCUGAGCUCCCUGAGGCAUAACAGUCCAGGUAUAUUGUUGUCCUUCAUGUGUGAAGGCGAAGAGAAAAUGGCAGGAAGGGUCAAGGGGGACACUGAAAAAGGCAUUAGCUAGAUCCACUACAGAAAAAAAUUGUUGAAUUGGGUGGCACCUGGGACAAAAGGGUAUGGGGGUUUGGAACAAUAGCAGUGUCCUUUAUGGUUACUUCUUUAACAGCACGGAGGUCCUGUACCAUGCGGUACUGGUCGGGUUGGCCCUUAACAGUUCGCUUUUUAACAGGGAAAAGUGGGGUGUUGCAUGGAGAUGUGCACUUGGUGAGGGCACCUUUGGCAAGCAGAGACUCAACUUGUUUGGUGAUGGCUUCAGCUUGUGCUGGCUUCAGAGGAUACUGAGGUCUACGAGGAGGAAGUGCUCCAGGCAGGAGCUGGACCAGGACGGGGGGUACAUGUAAGCGUCCAAUAUCAUCCGGGCCGGUGGACCAAAGUUCUUGGGGGAUACGAUCCAGAGCACUGGGGGGGGGUGUGACCCGUGCACUCCCUGUAUUGUCAGUUAGGUUCAACAAGAUGGGGAGUGAGCAGAGUACAGUGGUGUCUGUCUGUGAUAAGGGUGUAGUUAACUGGACCCUGGAGCCGAGAAAGAACAUCAGCACCCAAGAGGUUAAUGGGACAAGUAGAAGAAACAACAAAACGUGAGAGUAUGUGUGAACCAACAUGCAGGAGUGUAGGGAGGGGGCUACUGCGGGGUGUACCAUCCACCCCAACACAGGAGACAUCGGUGUCUGACAAAAAGGAGGGGUCAUGGCAGGGGUUGCUGACACAGGCUUGCCGGUAACCUAUUGCAGUAAAUCUAAAUGGGCCUGGUCGGGUCCUUGGUACCGGUGGGUAGAAGUGGGAGGGUGGCUGGACUGCAUAGGAGCACGGGCAAGGCGGCUUUGUCGAGGUAGGGGCUGAAUAUCUCGGAAACCACCCGUGUCAAACCCAUCAGCGGAGGCUGGAGGGUAUGCACGGGCCUCUAAAGCAGGGGGCCGGCUGGGAUGGGCGUGAUAGGUGAGUAUUAAGGGUGGGAGGAGGUGGAGGAGGAGGAGGUAAAUCAGUGGGAGGCGGGGCAGGAAUCGCGGAAUUAACCAGGGAGGUAACAGCAGAGAAGAGGGCGGAUGUCGAGCUAGACAGGUCAUUGGCCAUGGUUGGGUCAGGGGUCACCGGGGGAGAGGUCGGAGGGAUGGGAACAGGGGGCUGGGUCGUAACAGCGUGGGUAAACCAGUCGGGGGAGGAGGAGACAACGAGGUAGAGGGGGCCGGGACUUCGGGAGGAGGAGGUAACACUGGAGAAGGGGUGGUAACGGGGGGUUGGGUCAGGGCGGUGAGGGCAGAAAUCAGGGACGGCAAAUCGGCCGAGGGAGGAGGAGGCAACGAGGUAGAGGGGGCCGGGACUUCGGGAGGAGGAGGUAACACUGGAGAAGGGGUUGGAGGGGUGGUAACGGGGGGCUGGGUCAGGGCGGUAAGGGCAGAGAUUAGGGACGGCAAAUCAGCCGAGAGGGGAGGAGGCAACGAGGUAGAGGGGACCGGGAUAUCGGGAGGGGGUACCACUGGAGAAGGGGUUGGAGGGGUGGGAACGGGGGGCUGGGUCAGGGCAGUGAGGGCAGAGAUUAGGGACGGCAAAUCAGUCGGGAGGGGAGGGGACAACGAGGUAGAAGAGAGGUCCGGAGGCAUAAGGGAAGCGGGAUCAGCGGGAGGACAAGGGUCUGGAGGAUCUGGGGCGGUGGGGUGAGUAAGGUCGAGAGGGCAGAGAGCGGGGCAGCGGAUGGAGACGGGUGAGUGGGUAACACUGGGGAGGGGUCAGUCGAGGUGGAGAGGGGACGAGAGGCAAGCAUAGGUAAAGGUGGCGGGGGACAGGGAGGCGGAGGAAUGUCAUUUAACGUAAAGGAUGUUACUGUAAACAUACGAUUUGUAACUAGCAAGAUUCUAUUAAGUAAAGAUACAAUGUUUAAAAUAACUUGCAUUAUUUUGCAAUAUCCCUUGUUGCAAGACACAGGCAUUAAUGAAUAAUCAUCAGGAUAAUUAGCUGUAAUGCUCUUAUAUUCGUGCCCUACAGAACUCAUUUGUAGGUCACACCACAGGUGCAAAUGACUCUUUAGCAACCUCUUUCUUUUUUUUUUUUUUAUAUCACGGACACAUUUCUGAUACAGGGAAACAAAUGGCAUGAUUGUUUUAGUAACUAUAACGUUUCAGUUCAUAAUAUGUAGAGUGUAAGGAAAACAACAUGUCUCUAAAUAGGACGAGCAUGAUAGGGGUAGGCCUCAUGAUGGAGGCAGCCAUGACAGGGGCGGGGAAGGAAAUGACAGCAAGGGAGGAAGUGAGGUGACGUCCAUGAUAGGUGUGGGAAAGGAAGACAGGAGGUGUGGGCAUGGUAAGGGCGGAAGUGACGUUACUUUAGAAGCAACCGUGACUGUGGAUAGGUCACGGGACUUUCAGGGUCAACCUCCUUCUGUACUAGGCGCCAUCUUUAGGGUGGUGGCUGACGUACUUUCAACAAUACACCAUAUUAUAACUAAUAAAAUAAGUCAGAGAAGCAACAUUCCGUUCUGCAAAAUGAAAUACUAAACUAUGAACAGACCUGGCAGGUUAAAUAAGACAGUUGAGAACAUUAUGCAUUUAACAGCCCAUAAAGCUGUCCAUAGAAAAAUGUACUUUAACAUGAUAAACUCAC